GAUUCUCUAUUAAGGGACAGCCCAUUCACCAUUUCGUCGGUACAUCUACAUUCAGCGAGUACACUGUGGUUCAUGCCGGAUGUGUUGCAAAGAUCAACCCUGAUGCACCACUUGACAAAGUUUGUAUUCUCAGCUGUGGAAUAUGCACAGGUAUAGGAGAUUCCAAUGUUUAGAUAUUUAUAUAUAAUUAGGCUGAGUCUAUGUUUCUCUAAUUCAAUUUGCUUCCAUGCUUUUACAGGUCUUGGUGCUACUAUCAAUGUAGCUAAACCAAAACCCGGUUCAUCUGUUGCUAUCUUUGGCCUUGGAGCUGUUGGGCUUGCGGUAUGUUACUCUUAUACCUUGAGUGUGCAUGCACGUGUUUGUGCGUGUUGCAAAUUGCAAUUAUUAUCGGAAAUGAAAAGAGCCAAUAUUAACUUCUGCCCUUCUCUUAAACCAAAAUUUAGGCUGCUGAAGGAGCCAGGAUAUCUGGUGCAUCAAGAAUCAUUGGAGUUGAUUUAGUUUCCAGCCGAUUUGAAUUAGGUACAGUGCUUUCUUAUUCCAUCAAAUGCUUGUAGAUUCUGGUUAACAUGAAUUCAAUGACUAUUUCUUUUAUUGAUGGCAUUUCUUAUUUUUUUCUUGUUGACAGCUAAGAAGUUUGGGGUAAAUGAGUUUGUAAACCCGAAAGAUCAUAACAAACCUGUUCAACAAGUUAGUUCAUUGACAAUUUAGUAUAUAGUAGUUUAUUAUAUUUCUGUUUUCAAUUUUGAAUUUUAAAGCAUGAUUCUAUGAAUUAUAAUGUUGUUGGUGUGCAGGUAAUUGCUGAAAUGACAAAUGGAGGUGUGGAUCGUGCUGUUGAAUGUACCGGGAGCAUCCAGGCCAUGAUCUCAGCUUUCGAAUGUGUCCACGAUGUAUGCAAAACAAAAUUCAUUUGUUCUAACUUGUUGCUAAAGAAAUUAUAAAGCUUAUUGAGGCUAAAGCUGAACCUUUAUUUGUUUUUCUUAGGGUUGGGGUGUUGCUGUACUUGUUGGAGUGCCAAACAAAGAUGAUGCAUUUAAAACACAUCCUAUGAAUUUGUUGAAUGAAAGGACUCUUAAGGGUACCUUUUAUGGUAACUACAAGCCUCGCACCGAUCUUCCUAAUGUUGUAGAGAAGUACAUGAAAGGGGUAAGUUUUUAUAUCAUAUUUUGAAUUGUGAAGUCUUUUAGGAGAAUUGAUAUUGCAGAAUUAUAUCUUAUCCGUGUGUUGAAGCUAAUUUGAUUUGUUAAUACUGCAGGAGCUGGAACUUGAGAAAUUCAUCACUCACUCAAUCCCAUUUUCAGAGAUUAACAAAGCUUUUGAUUACAUGCUGAAAGGAGAGUCCAUCAGAUGCAUCAUCCGAAUGGAGGAGUAAAACUCUAAAACAAUGAUGUAAUAAUCCCUACUAAGGGACUCAUUUCUCUCCUUGGUUGUUGAGAAAAAAAAUUUCAUAAAUAAUUCUUUUGGAUUAUGAAGUUUGUGAGAAUUUGUGAAGUUUACAUGUAAAGAAUUGUGCUGUUGGGAUUCUCUAAUACAAGAUAAGCUAGAUUUUGAUUUUGUGAUUUUUUAUUGUUGUGGUAUUUUAAGUGAUUUUUACUCUACAAAGGAAAAAGGGUAAACAGUCCAAACAAAACACUAAGAAGAAACCAUACUACCCUCAAAGAUGAUAUACUAUCAGAAAAAUAAACAAAAGGCUGAAAUCUAGAGCCAAACUGUAAGGAGUUUACAAAAUUAUGCAGAUGCUAUCAAAGUAAUUUUCUUCAAUAAUAUUUUGUCGUUUUUUUUCACCAAUUCUCUAUCCCUAUUCAUAGAUGCUAAACAUAACAUAAAUUAGUCUAUUUGGCUUACUGCUAACGAACCAAACAUGAUAUUGAUUCAUAACCAUAAGAUUCCUCCAUAGCAAUAGGCUUCAGCAGGAAUCAAAUUUUGAUUCCUUAACCAUGUAUAUCAAUUCACAUUGGCCUCAACUACUUGUUCUCUAUUUAUUUUACAGAAUCAUCAUACACACUUUAUGCACAUUGUUGAACAAAUUCGUCAUAUUUUUCUAUUAAUAUAAUUUUAUUUUUGUAUUAAUUUACUCACUAGUUUUUUCGUAGUAUUUCUUUAUUGAAGAUUCAACUAAGCUUGGACUUCAUCUUUUUGACCAGCUCAUCGGCACGCUCUUGUAGCCUCCUAAUAUUAGAUGCAAGUCCAUACAAGAGCUCUUGUGCACAUUUUCCCUCGCUAGUCAAUCCUUCUGGCUUCUCCAAUCUCACCGUCCAAUCAAGAACUCUAAUCUAUCAAUGUAGUCACUAAUCAUGUACACACCAAUACAUUGUGUCAAUGCGGAAAAAUGACUGAAGAUGUAUGGGUUCCCACAAUCAUUCAUCAAUUGUCUGUGAAUCUUUAUGUUGUUACUUACUAUCAUUUUUGCUACCGUGUAUGUGGGGUCCACUUCUCGAAGCUUUUCAACAAUUCUCUCGUAUGCAAUCUCAUGGCGUUUCUCAUGCGCAACGAUUGUGUUGCAUAUGUUUGCAAGCACUAGAUCAACACUCUCGAUAGCCACUCGAGCCAUACUUACUACUAUCCAAUACAAAAAUUGCUCGUUUUUUGGAAGGAUGUUUACACAAAUGUAUGGGUUGUUUUCUACGGAAAAUACUUGGUGACAUUGUGUUUUGGCGAUAUUGAUGACUUUAAUGUAUUUAAUCGAUAGAUGAAUGAUUAAAAUAAAUUAUAUUGAUGAUGAUAUAUACAUUCUUAAUGAAUUAUUUAAUUUCUCCCGAUUUUCCUUGCUUUUUUUUUUUAAAAUGGAGAAGAUAUUAAAGUAAAAAAAAAAAAAAAAAAAAUCAAUGCAUGAAAAUUGAAAAGUAAAAGAACAACGAUUAUGGAAAUAUAUUUAUUCUUAAGACAACUUGGUCAUUCAAGAGAUGUUUAUGAUCAUGGCUGUAGUGAUUCUGAACAAUCAUCUCAAGUUUUCUCAUAUUAUUUACAACCCAAUCCAUGUGAAAAAAAAACAUGCCCGAUGGUCAUGCCAAUGUACUAGCUCAUUUUAACAACUCUAAAACAAACAACUUAGAAAAGAAACUUGAGAAAAACGACGCACUCACACUUAUAGGUAAAAAAGAUAUACAUGUAUAAAAGUAAAAUAAAAUAUGUAAAAAAAAAUCACCUUAAUGAAUCAUAUCAAUGAUAUAAUUAAAAAAUCACCUUAAUUGAAAAUUAUUUUUUACAAUAAAACAUCAAAAUUUAGAUAAAAAAAAGUAUUAAGAAUAAGAAGGGAAAAGAAAAGGGGAAAAAGUCAAUAAGACAGAGAGUCGAAAACCAGCUUAUGUUGGUUGGUGGCAAAGUCAAAGCCAAAGGCGCCGGUUGGAAAUAAAACAACAGCAACAGCGGUAUCCCACAAAACCAAACCAAACCAAAGUGGUAUGUAUUUUAAUGUUUCUUGUUUAAAAAAAUUAAAGUACUAUACUAUGUUUGGAAAUAGAAAAUCAUUCGUUUAUUUUCUAUUCCCACUAGUGCAAGUACUAUGCACCUAUAAAGGUCACUGACACGUAGUUAGUUCCAAACACAACACAACACGAGUACUAGUAGCAUUGCAAAGCAACAAACAACUUACUACUCACCCAUUCGAUUCCAUUCUAAAUUUUCUGUUCAUUCAUCAUGUCCAACACUGCUGGUCAGAUCAUCAAGUGUAGAGGUACCAUCUAUUUAUCUCAAAUUUUGUUUUGAUCUUGUUUUCUAGAAUAUUUUAAUCAUCGAUCCAUCCUUUUUUUUUUUUUUUUUUUUUUAUAAGGAUCCUUCCAUUUAAACUGUUUUAUUUUUAUUUUUAUGAUUUCACUGAAUUAUGUGAUUUUCUUAACUGAAUCCCUUGUGUCCGGUGUUUGUACUCGUGUUUCAUAUCAUACUACUUACUAACUGAAUCCCUUGAUUGUGUUUUGGAACCAGCUGCGGUUGCAUGGGAAGCGGGGAAGCCGCUGGUGAUGGAAGAAGUAGAGGUGGCUCCACCGCAGGCCGGUGAAGUCCGUCUCAAGAUACUCUUCACCUCCCUUUGUCACACUGAUGUUUACUUCUGGGAAGCUAAGGUAUUUUUUUGAUUACAUAACACGGCGGGUGCUUAGUUUUCUUACACAAAAGUUAAUUUAUGUAAAAUUCUUCUUAGGUUUUCAUGUUCUGUUUUGCAUUGCAGUGAUUUAAUAUGGUUUUCUUGUUUUCCUUUGUUUCAGGGUCAGACUCCAUUGUUUCCUCGUAUAUUUGGUCAUGAAGCUGGAGGGUAUGAUUCUCUUCUGAACAUUGAAAGUUGAAUCACAUAUUAUAAAUCUUUCUCUUUAUAUAUUAUUGAUUAAAUCUGUUUGAUUAUCUAAUGUGUUAUGUAAUGUGAAUGAAUGUUAUUGAUAAUUGUUGGCCUAAUGUUGAUCAGGAUUGUGGAGAGCAUAGGCGAGGGUGUGACACAUCUAAAACCAGGCGAUCAUGCCCUGCCUGUAUUCACAGGGGAGUGUGGGGACUGUCCACAUUGUAAGUCGGAGGAAAGCAACAUGUGUGAUCUUCUUAGGAUCAACACUGACAGGGGUGUUAUGAUCAAUGACAACCAGUCAAGAUUCUCUCUUAAGGGACAGCCCAUUCACCAUUUCGUCGGUACAUCUACAUUCAGCGAGUACACUGUGGUUCAUGCCGGAUGUGUUGCAAAGAUCAACCCUGAUGCACCACUUGACAAAGUUUGUAUUCU
This 4696-nucleotide long non-coding RNA is filed under the name Medicago truncatula (barrel medic). RNAcentral describes it as "long non-coding RNA (MTRU_LNC001038)". The record is from RNAcentral. Lineage: Eukaryota; Viridiplantae; Streptophyta; Magnoliopsida; Fabales; Fabaceae.